GACGUAGGGGGCAAGCGUUGUUCGGAAUUAUUGGGCGUAAAGCGCUCGUAGGCGGGACUGGAAGUCCGGGUUGAAAGACCUCGGCUCAACUGAGGGACCGGCUCGGAUACUCUAGUUCUUGAGGCAAUCAGAGGGUGAUGGAAUUCCCGGUGUAGCGGUGAAAUGCGUAGAUAUCAGGAGGAACACCUGUGGCGAAAGCGGCGCACUGGACCACAACUGACGCUGAGGCGCGAAAGCUAGGGGAGCAAACAGG
RNAcentral lists this ribosomal RNA (253 nucleotides) under uncultured bacterium. RNAcentral describes it as "partial 16S ribosomal RNA". It matches the Rfam family "Bacterial small subunit ribosomal RNA", at positions 524 to 776 of the family's 1533-position model. The record is from RNAcentral.